UGAGGAAUUUUGCGCAAUGGGGGAAACCCUGACGCAGCAACGCCGCGUGAGUGAUGAAGGCCUUCGGGUCGUAAAGCUCUGUCAAGUGGGAAGAAUCUGUGCUAUGCUAACAUCAUGGCGCACUGACGGUACCACUGAAGGAAGCACCGGCUAACUCCGUGCCAGCAGCCGCGGUAAUACGGAGGGUGCAAGCGUUAUUCGGAAUUAUUGGGCGUAAAGCGCACGUAGGCGGUUUUAUAAGUCAGAUGUGAAAGCCCGGGGCUUAACCCCGGAAGUGCAUUUGAAACUAUAAGACUUGAGUAUGGGAGAGGGAAGCGGAAUUCCUGGUGUAGAGGUGAAAUUCGUAGAUAUCAGGAGGAACACCGGUGGCGAAGGCGGCUUCCUGGACCAAUACUGACGC
This 400-nucleotide ribosomal RNA is filed under the name uncultured bacterium. RNAcentral describes it as "bacterial SSU rRNA". It matches the Rfam family "Bacterial small subunit ribosomal RNA", at positions 355 to 746 of the family's 1533-position model. The record is from RNAcentral.